This 253-nucleotide ribosomal RNA is filed under the name uncultured bacterium. RNAcentral describes it as "partial 16S ribosomal RNA". It matches the Rfam family "Bacterial small subunit ribosomal RNA", at positions 524 to 776 of the family's 1533-position model. The record is from RNAcentral.
UACAGAGACUGCAAGCGUUAUUCGGAUUCACUGGGCGUAAAGGGUGCGCAGGCGGCCGUGUGUGUGAGGCGUGAAAGCCCGGGGCUUAACUCCGAAACUGCAUUCGAUACUGCCGUGCUUGAGGACUGGAGAGGAGACUGGAAUUUACGGUGUAGCGGUGAAAUGCGUAGAUAUCGUAAGGAAGACCAGUGGCGAAGGCGGGUCUCUGGGACGGUACUGACGCUGAGACGCGAAAGCGUGGGGAGCGAACAGG